CUGUCCAGGUUUUUCUACCUACGAACAUGGCGAACACCCACUGGUUCCUUGUGGUCGUAAACCCCAGAAGGAGGGAGAUUCAGAUUCUUGAUUCACUUUUCAGCUACGUAGUAACACAAGUGGUUCACGUGAUACGUGGGGUGGAAGCACAUCUGAGAGCAUCGCUGCGAAUCAAUGGACCACAAAGCCAUGCAUGGCAAGACAUUAACGUGACCCAAUGGACAGUAAAGCAUGUUCCUGUGCCAAGACAAGAUGACAAUUCUUCUUGUGCACUCUACAUGCUGAAGAACAUCGAAUUCUUUACGGGAGAAGAU
Molecule: long non-coding RNA, 314 nt
Organism: Triticum aestivum (bread wheat)
Lineage: Eukaryota; Viridiplantae; Streptophyta; Magnoliopsida; Poales; Poaceae
Exons: 3
Source: RefSeq, a predicted model, not a curated record